GUUUUUAUAGUUUAAUUUUAAAACAUUACACUGAAAAUGUAAAAAUAUCAGUUAAAAACAUUUUAAUUACA
This 71-nucleotide transfer RNA is filed under the name Rhipicephalus microplus (southern cattle tick). Its description in RNAcentral is "tRNA-Phe". The stretch from base 1 to 60 matches the Rfam family "tRNA". Rfam says of the family: Transfer RNA (tRNA) molecules are approximately 80 nucleotides in length. Their secondary structure includes four short double-helical elements and three loops (D, anti-codon, and T loops). The record is from RNAcentral. Lineage: Eukaryota; Metazoa; Arthropoda; Arachnida; Ixodida; Ixodidae.